Long non-coding RNA from Oncorhynchus tshawytscha (Chinook salmon), 672 nucleotides. The record is from Ensembl. Lineage: Eukaryota; Metazoa; Chordata; Actinopteri; Salmoniformes; Salmonidae.
GCGGCAGGUAGUCUAGUGGUUAGAGUGGAGGGGCGGCAGGUAGUCUAGUGGUUAGAGUGGAGGGGCGGCAGGUAGUCUAGUGGUUAGAGUGGAGGGGCGGCAGGUAGUCUAGUGGUUAGAGUGGAGGGGCGGCAGGUAGCCUAGUGGUUAGAGUGGAGGGGCGGCAGGUAGCCUAGUGGUUAGAGUGGAGGGGCGGCAGGUAGCCUAGUGGUUAGAGUGGAGGGGCGGCAGGUAGUCUAGUGGUUAGAGUGGAGGGGCGGCAGGUAGUCUAGUGGUUAGAGUGGAGGGGCGACAGGGUAGCCUAGUGGUUAGAGUGGAGGGGCGACAGGUAGCCUAGUGGUUAUAGUGGAGGGGCGGCAGGGUAUCCUAGUGGUUAGAGUGGAGGGGCGGCAGGUAGUCUAGUGGUUAGAGUGGAGGGGCGGCAGGUAGCCUAGUGGUUAGAGUGGAGGGGCGGCAGGUAGCCUAGUGGUUAGAGUGGAGGGGCGGCAGGGUAGCCUAGUGGUUAGAGUGGAGGGGCGGCAGGGAGCCUAGUGGUUAGAGUGGAGGGGCGACAGGGAGCCUAGUGGUUAGAGUGGAGGGGCGGCAGGGAGCCUAGUGGUUAGAGUGGAGGGGCGGCAGGGAGCCUAGUGGUUAGAGCGUUGGACUAGUAACCGAAAGGUUGCAAGUUCAAAU